Paramuricea clavata is the source of this 370-nucleotide non-coding RNA. The record is from the annotation of a GenBank genome assembly. Lineage: Eukaryota; Metazoa; Cnidaria; Anthozoa; Malacalcyonacea; Plexauridae.
UAUUAAUUGUUCUACGGUACAAUAGAGGAAUAUGAGCUCAUUCAUUCGUUCAUGUUAGCGUAUUAUGCAUGAGAGUAUUAUCUUUUACUUUUUUAGGUCUGUGUGAAAAUGAUACUAAAGAAGAUCAUAAUGAAUUAUAGGAUUUGCAACUUCCAUUAUUGCCUUACCACCGGUAGGGACAUAGCAUGAAAAAUAAGAAUUAAAAGGCAACACAACAAUAAUUAUAUGUAAAUAAUUAAAUGUACAUGACACAAUUAGUUAGCCAUGCAUUUUAAUGUCAUUCGCAGUUUUCAAAUUAAAUUUACAAGAAUACUGUAUAUGUUCACUUGUAUGAUAGUCAAAAAUGCAAAUAAUGAAUGUUUUCUUUCGU